UGAUGGUGUGCAUAGCACGUGUGGCAUUGCAUCACCACCUAGCCAACAAGCUGUUUCCCCAGAGACGCAGGGCUCUGGCCCUUUAAAUGCCUUGAGCCGCAGGGGUGGAGCUGGCAGAGCCGGACUCUGAAGGACAGCCAGGCCUCCUUUAGCCCCAGCUGCCUCCACUAGAGCCCCAGGAAAACAGCUGGAACCAUCCGUCUCCUUGGCAGAUCUUGCCUAGCUGUCCUUGCCGUCAUCUCCUCCCCCCAGCUCUCUGCAGGUCAAUUGGCAGAAAAUGCUUCCCAGUCUGACUCUCCGUGAAGGAGAAAACUCCUGACCCUCUAAGCCUCCCCGGGGUGCCUGGAGAAUGCAGCGAAGCUUCUCAGGGAGCAAUGUGCUGCAAGAAGGCAGAACUCACAGCCCUGCUUUACAGACCAGGAAGCUGAGACUUAGAGACGUGGAAGUGAAUUGUUGGAAGCCACACCACUAGGAAGUGGCUCCUGUGGGACAAGAGUUGGGGAGAGGCAACAGGAAGCAGCCUGGAAAACGUUAUGGAGCUGUCUCAGAGAGCCCCUCUCCUUGACCUUGGAUGACUCUGGAUGUCCCCUAUCAGCCGUUGCCAAGAAGACUUGGAGACUGCUUUGGGUAUUCAGCCUUCUGAGUCCCUCGGCCCUCUACUUUAUCCCUCUCUGGCUCCUUCUAGACACAAAAGCCCCGAGGAAGGGAAAUCCAGACCCACCCUGGCUUGUGGAUCCUAUCUGGCCGACUCUCACUGUGGAUCCUAAGUACCCCUAAAACCUGUCCCCGGCCAUCCUCCUGGCAUCUUUGCUUGGCAUACUGGCCCCGUCCUGCCCUUGACCACGGCCCUCCCCCUCGCCCUCCCCCGACAAUGAGUUCUGACUGCCUCUCAGACCAUCCACUCUAAAGACAC
This is a long non-coding RNA of Neofelis nebulosa (Clouded leopard), 913 nucleotides long. RefSeq lists it as uncharacterized. The record is from RefSeq and is a predicted model, not a curated record. Lineage: Eukaryota; Metazoa; Chordata; Mammalia; Carnivora; Felidae. The transcript is spliced from 4 exons.